AUGUGUAUGCACAAGCCGAAAUACGGUGAAGCCGCGAAUGGCUCAUUACAACAGCCAUUGUUUACUUGAUCUUGAAAUCCUACAUGGAUAACUGUGGUAAUUCUAGAGCUAAUACACGCAUUUAAGCUCUACGCCGGAGACGGCUAGAGUGCCUUUAUUAGAACAAAGCCAAUCGGGCUCCGGCCCGUCAUUUGGUGAAUCUGAAUAACCGAGCCGAUCGCGCGGUCUUAGAACCGGCGACGAAUCAUUCAAGUGUCUGCUUUAUCAACUUUCGACGGUAGUUUAUGCGCCUACCGUGGUUGUAACGGGUAACGGAGAAUAAGGGUUCGACUCCGGAGAGGGAGCCUGAGAAACGGCUACCACAUCCAAGGAAGGCAGCAGGCGCGCAAAUUACCCACUCUCGGCACGAGGAGGUAGUGACGAAAAAUAACGAGGCGGUUCUCUUUGAGGCCCGUUAUCGGAAUGGGUACAAUAUAAAUCCUUUAACGAGGAUCAACGAGAGGGCAAGUCUGGUGCCAGCAGCCGCGGUAAUUCCAGCUCUCGAAGUGUAUAUCAUUGCUGUUGCGGUUAAAAAGCUCGUAGUUGGAUCUGCGCCCUAGGAACCGGUCCACCCAAUGGGUGCGUACUUGUCUCCAGGGCUGAUUUUGUCGGUCUCCCUUGAUGCUCUUAACCGAGUGUCCUGGGCGGCUGGCGCGUUUACUUUGAAAAAAUUAGAGUGCUCAAAACAAGCGUGUUUGUUUGAAUAGUGGUGCAUGGAAUAAUGGAAUAGGACCUCGGUUCUAUUUUGUUGGUUUUCGGAUCACGAGGUAAUGAUUAAGAGGGACAGACGGGGGCAUUCGUAUUGCGGCGCUAGAGGUGAAAUCCUUGGACCGCCGCAAGACGGACAACUGCGAAAGCAUUUGCCAAGAAUGUUUUCAUUAAUCAAGAACGAAAGUUAGAGGUUCGAAGGCGAUCAGAUACCGCCCUAGUUCUAACCGUAAACGAUAUCAACCAGCGAUCCGCCGGCGUUAAUUACGACUCGGCGGGCAGCUUUCCGGAAACGAAAGUCUUUCGAUUCCGGGGGGAGUAUGGUUGCAAAGCUGAAACUUAAAGGAAUUGACGGAAGGGCACCACCAGGAGUGGAGCCUGCGGCUUAAUUUGACUCAACACGGGGAAACUCACCCGGCCAGGACACUGGUAGGAUUGACAGAUUGAGAGCUCUUUCUUGAUUCGGUGGGUGGUGGUGCAUGGCCGUUCUUAGUUGGUGGAGCGAUUUGUCUGGUUAAUUCCGAUAACGAACGAGACUCUGGCCUACUAAAUAGCGAGCGGAUCAGCUUUGUCUGCGGCGCUUCUUAGAGGGACAAGCGGUGCUUAGCCGCAUGAAAAAGAGCAAUAACAGGUCUGUGAUGCCCUUAGAUGUCCGGGGCCGCACGCGCGCUACAAUGAAGGAGUCAACGCGCUUUUGAACCUGGCCUGAAAGGGCCGGGUAACCGGAGGAAAAUCUUUCGUGAUUGGGAUAGGGACUUGCAAUUAUUUCCCUUGAACGAGGAAUUCCUAGUAAGUGCGGGUCAUCAGCUUGCGCUGAUUACGUCCCUGCCCUUUGUACACACCGCCCGUCGCUGCCCGGGACUGAGCCGUUUCGAGAAGGACGGGGAGUGCUGGCGUCGACUGCCGUUCUCGGUGGUUGUCUGUCGGUGUGAACCGCUCUAAUCGCGACGGCUUGAACCGGGC
Molecule: ribosomal RNA, 1710 nt
Filed under: Isolaimium multistriatum
Lineage: Eukaryota; Metazoa; Nematoda; Enoplea; Isolaimida; Isolaimiidae
Description: SSU rRNA
Rfam family: Eukaryotic small subunit ribosomal RNA
Source: RNAcentral